UGGGGAAUUUUGGACAAUGGGCGAAAGCCUGAUCCAGCAAUGCCGCGUAUGUGAAGAAGGCCUUCGGGUUGUAAAGCACUUUUGUCCGGAAAGAAAUCCUUGGCUCUAAUACAGUCGGGGGAUGACGGUACCGGAAGAAUAAGCACCGGCUAACUACGUGCCAGCAGCCGCGGUAAUACGUAGGGUGCAAGCGUUAAUCGGAAUUACUGGGCGUAAAGCGUGCGCAGGCGGUUUGCUAAGACCGAUGUGAAAUCCCCGGGCUCAACCUGGGAACUGCAUUGGUGACUGGCAGGCUAGAGUAUGGCAGAGGGGGGUAGAAUUCCACGUGUAGCAGUGAAAUGCGUAGAGAUGUGGAGGAAUACCGAUGGCGAAGGCAGCCCCCUGGGCCAAUACUGACGCUCAUGCACGAAAGCGUGGGGAGCAAACAGGAUUAGAUACCCUGGUAGUCCACGCCCUAAACGAUGUCAACUAGUUGUUGGGGAUUCAUUUCCUUAGUAACGUAGCUAACGCGUGAAGUUGACCGCCUGGGGAGUACGGUCGCAAGAUUAAAACUCAAAGGAAUUGACGGGGUCAUAGCUGUUUCCU
This 585-nucleotide ribosomal RNA is filed under the name uncultured bacterium. Its description in RNAcentral is "partial 16S ribosomal RNA". It matches the Rfam family "Bacterial small subunit ribosomal RNA", at positions 355 to 1375 of the family's 1533-position model. The record is from RNAcentral.